Molecule: long non-coding RNA, 7036 nt
Organism: Patella vulgata (common limpet)
Lineage: Eukaryota; Metazoa; Mollusca; Gastropoda; Patellidae
Exons: 4
Source: RefSeq, a predicted model, not a curated record
GCUUGUUUGGCAAACAGAGGAGGAUUUACCCGUUACUGACUUGGUUGUGAUGCUGUGGUAACUUUGCUGUUUGACCCCGGGUAUCAUUUUACCCUUAUAAUGGUCAGUCUGUGCCUUACUUAGUCUAACGAUCAUUUGGAAUAAAUCGAUGAAUGUGAACUUCAUUUCAUUUUGUCAUUUGUUUCUUCGUCAGUUUCAUUAGGUGACUUUAAUAACACUUAAAAAUCAAAUAUCCCCUACUUUUUUUGAAUAGUAUAUUAUAUCUAUGACCCUUUUAGUUUCUGGUGAUAUUGAAAGCAAUCCUGGCCCUCCCCGCAACUACCGAACAUAAAUUGGCAACCUAUUAGUCUAGCGGCAGAUUCGACCGAUCAAGCUGGACCGAACACAAAUUGGCAACCUAUUCGCCUAGCUGCAGAUUCGCCCGAUCAAACUGGCAACCAGACCUGUCAACUCUACCGCAUCACGCGGUAAAGUGCCGCGAAAAGGCCUCAUGUACCGCUCUACUGCGGGGUAAUAGAUUUCUACCGCAUUUUUAAACAGUUUUUUAAUUUUCUCGCCCAAACUAUGGAACUAAGGGAAGCAACUCUUUGCAUGUAAACAAUAAAGAUCGCGACCAUAGAUAUCCUAUUAAAGACUAGAUCGACAUGACGUCACGGACAGACAGCAUUCCCCGCCGCCAUAUUGGACAAAUGAGCUGUCAAAAUAUGGCGUCCAAUGGCAAUGGAACUGUCAAAGAAUACAAAGGGACAGGGUGUUACGCAUAUAAUUGCUACAAUUAUCGAAAUCAAUUCACUAAAUUACAGGGAUUAUCAUUUCACAAGUAAGUAACUAUACUUAUUCAAAUUUUAUAGCAAUUAGAUCUAGUUUAAUAAUAAUCUUGAUGGGCCAAGCCGAACAUAGUCUGCUGUCAUACUCUAGCCUGGUGGACCUAUAUAGAAAUGGAUCGAAGAUGUUUAUGUAAGGCCGAAGUUCUGAAUCAUAUAGGCCUAGGAUCAGUUUGAAACUUCGGACAACCAACACAUGUAUCUAUCGAUGAAGUUACGCUUCACAGAACAGGGUUAGCGAAGUAUAGAGUGUAGGCCUAAGGCCUAUCAAUCUGCAUGAUUGACAUACUUAUUCAACCAGCGGUACUUUAUGUUAUGAGGAUUUUUGCAGUGUCUAUACAAUUAAGUUUUAUAAACAAAUGUUUUAUUCCAGAUUUCCAGACAAGAAAAAACAUCCUGUAAAUUUUAAAACUUGGAUGACUUAUUGUCGUUGGGAACGUGAGGCAGGUUCUGGAUCUGUUCUAUGUAGUGACCACUUCACAGAGGAUAAUUUUGACCGCACUGGGCAAAUCGUCCGAUUGAGGGAUGGGGCUAUGCCCACCCUUUUUAAUAUUCCAGCUCAUCUUCAGAUUCCAAUAGUAAAUGAAAGGAAAACUGAAAAUUCGUUGCAGGUGAGAGAAUACACAAAGGCCACAAAAGAUUUCCAAGAAGAAACUGUCCCAAGCAUGAAGCCUGAUGAACAUGUAGAAUCAGAUCACAAUUAUUCAGUAUCUCCAAUGAAGUGGAAACGUAAACUGUAUGCCACAAGAAAAGUUAGAUGACACGACGAAAAAAUUUAAAAAUGCGGUUAAAAGGGAGCAGAGAGCCAAAACAUCUUGCAAGAAACAAACAGAUAAGCUGUAUGCAGAAAACCAUAUCAACAUUGAACUGAAAACAAAAUUAGACUCCUUUGGGGUUGCUGUCUCAUGUUAGAUGCUAUGUCCAUCAGAAAACAAGUGGAUUACAACCAACACAAUGGCCAUUUCACGGGGUAUGUUUAUUUAGGUUAUGGAGAAGAUGAAGAGGUUGAAGCCAAAGAAGUAUUGGUAUUUAUGGUUGUGGGAAUUGGAAAGCUCCUGUUGGAUACUUUUUUACAGGCGGUUUAUCUGCAGAAACACAAAAACAACUGGUCACUCAUUGUCUUAAAAAAAAUAAUGUAUAUUUGUAAAGCGCCAAUCCAUCCACAAAUGCAUGCUCUAGACGCGUACUAUGUACUCUAUGGUUACUAUUUACACACAAAUCCUGAUCCACUCCAACUAAAACGCAGUGGUAAAUAGAUGAGUUUUUAAUUUUGUUUUAAAAGAUUCAAGUGAUGGAGUUGUUUUGAGAUGAUGGGGUAAGGAAUUCCACAAAAAGGGUGCACUGUACUGGAAUGUUCUAGAACCGAAAGUUUGUAGAUUGUACUUUGGAAUGCGUAAUAAGCACAUAUCUUGUGAUCUUAAGUUACGGGAUGGUAUGUAAUGGUUUAUUAGCUCUGAUAGAUUUGCAGGACUGGAACCGUGAAGACAUCUAUAAACAAUACAAAGAAGUUUGUAGUCAAUUCGGGAGUAAAAUUGGUAACCAGUGUAGUUCCUUCAAUAUGGGUUUAAUGUGAGAUCGUCGGGAUGAUUGACUAACUAUCCUGGCAGCAUUGUUUUGGGUAACUUGAAGUUUAGAGAGUAGAUUUUGGUAACUUGAAGUUUAGAGACCGAUAAGGAUACUAUUACAGUAAUCCAAUCGUGAAAACACUAAAGAUCGGACAAGUGUGUGAGUAGCAUCUUUUGUUAGCAGGUGUCUGAUAUAACUGAUGGAUUUCAGAUGAAAAUAACAGAUUUUGCACAGAUUGGUUACAUGAGCUUCCAUUGUUAGGCUUGAAUCUAAAAAGACACCAAGAUUUUUAACCCUAUCUUGAGUUAUUAUUUCUGAGUCAGCAAUAAUUAAUGUUGAGGAAUCAAGUUUCUGCAGAUUAUGUCUUGUACCCACGAUCAUUACUUCCGUUUUAUCAUCAUUUAGUUUAAGCAUGCUUGAGGUCAUCCAGGUUUUAAUUUGCUGUGUGCAUUUUUCUGUUUUAAGAAAGGAAUCUGUUUUACUCUCUGGUGGAAAAAUAUCUAUGACUUGCGUAUCAUCAGCAUACGAAUGGUGCGAAAGAUUGUGAUUUUCAAUUAUAGAGGCUAGUUGGCUGCUGUAGAGCACAAAGAGAACAGGACCGAGCACCGAUCCUUGGGGGACACCACAGUUCAAGGAAGUUUUGUCUGAUAACUCAUCACCGAUUAGAACUGACUGGGUCCGAUCUUUUAGAUACGACCUAAACCAGUUUAUGGGCAUGUCUACAACCCCACAGCAUUUGGAUAGAUUUUGGAGAAGUCUCUUGUGAUCUAUAGUGUCAAAUGCUGCCGACAGGUCCAGCAUUACUAGUGAGGCAAUGUUAUCACUAUCAACAGCUCCACGCAAAUUGUUAACCACUCUGAGUAAGGCAGUUUCGGUACUAUGAUUUUGGCGAUAGGCAGAUUGAAAUUUAUCAAGUUAUGAAUUUGUAGCCAAAUGUUCCUUUAACCUUAUGCUUACAGCCUUCUCUAGAACCUUGGAUAGAAAAGGAAGAUUGGACACUGGGCGGAAAUUCUUGAGCACAUCCUGAUCAAAGCUGUCAUUUUUAUACGCCCACAUUGAAAUGUGGUCGUAUAUUGUCGUCACCCCCGUCCGUCCGUCCGUCCGUCCGGCCGUCCGGCGUCCACAAUUGCUUGUGGACGCUCUAGAGGCUAAAGUUAAUAUCCGAUUUCAGAUAAUUACUGCCAGUUAUGGUCCUUGAUCACUUUCGAAAAUUUUGUGGACGCUCUAGAAGCCAAAGUUAAUAUCCGAUUGACUUUAAAUUUAUACACAGUGUUUAAUGUCAUGAGACGAAGAAGCCUAUUGAUUUUUAGCGAUUUCCGAUAAUUACUGCCAGAGAUAUGGCCCUUGAUCCAUUUGAAAAAUCUUGUGGACGCUCUAGAGGCUAAAGUUAAUAUCCGAUUGACUUUAAAUUUAUACACAGUGUUUAAGGUCAUGAGACGAAGAAGCCUAUUGAUUUUCAGCGAUUUCCGAUAAUUACUGCCAGAGUUAUGGCCCUUGAUCACUUCAAAAAAUCUUGUGGACGCUCUAGGGGCUAAAGAUAAUAUCCGAUUGACUUUAAAUUUAUAUACAGUGUUUAAGGCCAGAGUUAUGGCCCUUGGUCACUUCAAAAAAUCUUGUGGACGCUCUAGGGGCUAAAGUUAAUAUCCGAUUGACUUUAAAUUUAUAUACAGUGUUUAAGGCCAUGAGACGAAGAAGCCUAUUCAUUUUAAGCGAUUUCCAAUAAUUACUGUCAGAGUUAUGGCCCUUGAUCACUUCAAAAAAUCUUGUGGACGCUCUAGAGGCUAAAGUUAAUAUCCAAUUGACUUUAAAUUUAUACACAGUGUUUAAGGUCAUGAGACGAAGAAGCCUAUUGAUUUUCAGCGAUUUCUGAUAAUUACUGCCAGAGUUAUGGCCCUUGAUCACUUCAAAAAAUCUUGUGGAUGCUCUAGAGGCUAAAGUUAAUAUCCGAUUUACUUUAAAUUUAUACACAGUGUUUAAGGUCAUGAGACGAAGAAGCCUAUUGAUUUUCAGCGAUUUCUGAUAAUUACUGCCAGAGUUAUGGCCCUUGGUCACUUCAAAAAAUCUUGUGGACGCUCUAGAGGCUAAAGUUAAUAUCCGAUCUACUUUAAAUUUAUACACAGUGUUUAAGGUCAUGAGAGACGAAGAAGCCUAUUGAUUUUCAGCGAUUUCAGAUAAUUACUGCCAGAGUUAUGGUCCUUGAUCACUUUCGAAAAUUUUGUGGACGCUCUAGAAGCCAAAGUUAAUAUCCGAUUGACUUUAAAUUUAUACACAGUGUUUAAUGUCAUGAGACGAAGAAGCCUAUUGAUUUUUAGCGAUUUCCGGUAAUUACUGCCAGAGAUAUGGCCCUUGAUCCCUUUGAAAAAUCUUGUGGACGCUCUAGAGGCUAAAGUUAAUAUCCGAUUGACUUUAAAUUUAUACACAGUGUUUAAUGUCAUGAGACGAAGAAGCCUAUUGAUUUUCGGCGAUUUCUGAUAAGUUCUGCCAGAGUUAUGACCCUUGAUCACUUUGAAAAAUCUUCUGACGCUCUAGAGGCUAAAGUUAUCAUCCGAUUGACUUCAGAUUGAUACACAGAGUUUAAGGUCUUGAGACGAACAAUUAUAUUGAUUUUCAAUGAAUGUUUAUGACUUGAGCAACUAAAUCCAUGAUGUUAAAAGUUUUCUAUACUAAACAUUAGCAUGGGGCAGAACUUUAUAAAAACCAAACAAAUUCUAAUGGUUUUCUGAUAAUUACUUAAUUAGAAGUAAAAAUAUGCGACAACUCUUGUUGACUCCCCGGACGAUUUAGCUGCUGUGUGCGUAUGUUUCGUUGCCUGGCAACCUAUCUUUAAGAAGCGGAAGAACCACAGCUGAUUUGAAUUUUGCUGGAAAUACACCAGUAGCAAGGUUGUUAUUUAUCAACAGAGUGAUAAAAGGUAUAAGUUGAUCCAGAAGUUGAAAUAUUAAAGGAGUGGGAAUUGGAUCAGUAAGACAAGUUGUAGGUUUAGACGACUUGAUGAUUUCUUCUCUUAUUUCCUUUUCACUGAAAGGCCUGAAACACUCUAACUGCUGGCCGCUGAAGAAUUUGAAUUCCGACUCAUUGUCUGUGUUAUUUGUGGAUGAUUUAAGCCCAUGACGAAUUUUCUCUAUCUUAUCGAGGAAGAAGCUAUUAAAUCUAUUUGCAAGAUUUAAGUUAGAAUCUGUAUUGGGAAGUUUAGAUUCUUUGGGACAACCAAGAAGUGAUUUUAGAAAAUGGUGUAUUUUUCGAGGAUCCUUGUAGCAGUUCUGAAUGUAUGUUUGACAAUGCAAUCGCUUAGCGUGCUGGAUGGCUUUCAAUGAGUUCAAUUUCGAUUCAUGGUGAAUUUGACGAUGAAUUUCUAGAUUUGUCUGACGCCAUUUCCGUUCCGCUCGUCUACGUACACAUUUUGACUGUUGGACAUCACUGUUAUACCACGGUGCAUUUCGUAUGGUAAUUGUUUUAGAGACAGUAGGUGCAUGUUUAUCUAGCAAUUCAAGGAGAGUGUUAUUGUAGAGGUCUACUUGUUCAUCAACAUCAGUCAAGGGUUCUAACACAAGCUUAGAUCUGCACAAAUCAGUUUUCAAAAAAUCCCAAUUAAUCCCUUUAAUAUUCCUACAAAUAAUACUUUUUUGUGGAUUACGAGAUUUACACAAAUUUAAGUUAACAGUAAUAAGGAAGUGGUCAGAUAUUUGCCUAUCUUCAACUUGUAUAUCUUGCACCAAAGAGGAAUCACAGGGAGUAAUUACCCAGCCCAAAGUGUUUCCUGACUUGUGGGUUGCUUGGUCUAUGUGUUGAUUAUAUCCUGUAUGAUCAAGCAGAGAUAACACUUUUUUUUAAUCAUGCUUGUUUAAAUUAUUGAGCUGAACAUUAAAAUCGCCAAGUAUCAAUGUAUUUAUUUUAGAAUGUACAGACAAAAGAGAAGAGAAUUCUGUGUGGAAAUCUGACGUAGAAAGUUUAUUUCUAGAAGAAGGUGGUGGUCUAAAUACAGAUGAGUGUAAAACAUUUGGUUGUUGUGGUGAUUCGCAGAGAUAGUUGUUCAAACGUUUUGGCUUGGACUCUGUCCUUUGUGGUCUCAACUUUGAUAGAACGUUUAUGAAUAAGGGCUAUUCCCCCACCAGUUGUGUUGGAUCUUGCAAGGUGGAUACAUGUAUAAGACAGAGGUGUCAUGGCAGCAAUAUGAGAUUCAUCACCAUAUGGCCUAAGCCAUGAUUCUGUGAUAACAAGAAUAUCUUGGUCAUUUUCAAUAAUCAGAUCAAAGAUUUCUGUAGUCUUAUUACGGCAUGAUUGUGUGUUCCAAAGUUCUAUUUUAAAACAUUUGGGUUGAUAGGCAGAUUUUAGUUUGUGAACAUGCACAUUUUCCUCAUCUGUAAUUUGUGUAUUUACAGGGGGGAGGGGGGUAUUUAUCCUAUGCUUCUUUUUGGUUCCAGAUGCACAUCCACAUCUUGUAGGUUUGAACUUUUUUAUACUCAGCCAAAUUAAAAACUUGACGCUUGGGAUUUUUGGGACUAGAUUUUCAAUAUUUGGUUUAAGGCAACUAUUUUAGUGUUAUGUUGUGCACAGACGACCUUGACAUCAACAGAAAGCAAGAAUACGUCUCACCGAAAGUCCUUGACAUUGAUAACGUUCGUGAUGUCACAAUACCCCCCAAAAUG